Molecule: long non-coding RNA, 1584 nt
Organism: Ailuropoda melanoleuca (giant panda)
Lineage: Eukaryota; Metazoa; Chordata; Mammalia; Carnivora; Ursidae
Exons: 5
Source: RefSeq, a predicted model, not a curated record
AGCCCUUUCUAAGUGCUUUACAAAUAUUAACUCGUUUCAUGCCCACGACAAGCCUGUGCUGUGGGUGUUAUUCUCCCAUUUUAUAGCAGAGAAAACUGAGGCACAGCGACGCUAAGCAAGCUGCCCAAGGUCACACAGCCAGCUGGGGGAUGGGAUGGGCUGUCCCACACCCUGGGCUGUCCCGUACCACACUUGUCUCUAAGCCCUAGGCGGGGAGGCGUCCCUGUACUGGCGGGGUUGUGACUGUCGGUUCUUGUCUGUGCUCCCCAGUGGGAUGCAAGCUCUAGGAGCUGCGACUCUGGAGCAAAGAGAGGCACUGGAUGAAAGUUGCAGAGUGAAGGCAGGCAUGGGGCUCAGGACAGCUGCAUCCCUUCCGACCGCCAGAGCCCUCCCGCCGCACUCUGCUCGAGGAGCUGUAUUCCUGGCCAGGGUCUCCAGCCCCAGCAAACGAGAUCCUCCCGUUGACGCUGGACCAGGAGGAAACCUGGGCCUCGACGGUCGGACGGAGCAGAAUCCGCUCGUGGCGGGGCACGCGCGCCACCUGGCGGCCGAGUUCCGCCAACACACCGCCACCCGGAGACCAGAAAGACCUGAGUGAGCUGCAACCGCCUGCUGUUUUCCUGUAAUGUACAAUGUAAAUUACUGACAAUGCAAAGCUCAGGCCUAAAACUGCAAGUCUUCAUGCACAAGGCUCGGACAAAUUUCAGCAUUGUCCCAAGUAAAGAUGUUUUGGAAAAACCUGCCUGGGAGAAGCUCUAAGGAGUGGUCAGCCCCCACAUGGGAUUUCAGCCCCAGUUCAUAACACUUGGGGCCCAAAGUCUCAAGAUUUUAAUGACCACCUAGGUUGUGGCUGAGAAAAUGGCCGCCCAUCUAGAGACUACAUUUCCCAGGCUCCCUUGCAGCAUAAUGUCAAGAUCGAUCCAUGUUGCAGCGCUGUCAGAAUUUACUUCCUCUUCAAGACUGAGCUAUAUUCCUCUACACGUCUAUACUCAGCCUCUUGCAGCCACAAGUGCCCAUGUAACAUAGCUCUAGACAAUCAGAUGCAGGCAGAAAUCUACCAGGCUAAGAAAGUUUUGACCUCCUGCCUCAAAUUCAUACACGAUGCCUGGAGCUGUGGCCUCCAUCUUGUGACUAUGAGAAAAAACCAGAGACUCAAGACUUCAGCCAACAGCAGUCUCUGAACCUCUGAACAAAGCCAGCAGCCCCCUCGCCGUUCCCUCUAGAUUUUGAGAAAAAUUAACCUCUCAUGUGUAUGCUCACGACCACCUCUACUGUUCAUUGCAGCCCAAAGCAUUUGUAACUGAUACAGUGGGUCAGGUUACGGAUCUGUCUCCCCGGCCAGAACGUAGGUCCCAUGGUGGCAGAGAACGUGACCUUGCUCACACUGUGUGCCCUUCCCAUCCCAACUCCUGGCUGGUGGAGACCGCACAGAUGGCAUACAUGCUUGAAGUCCUUCAUCCAAAAUCUAACAGUACCAUCCUCUGUGUUCACCGAAAGAACCACACAAAGGGCUUAAAAUGGCACUUGACUGGGGCGCCUGGGUGGCACAGCAGUUAAGCAUCUGCCUUUGGCUCAGGGUGUGAU